GUUAACGGAACGUCGACUAAGAUCUGCCACGUCCUUAUGUCUUACGUCGACGCCAACACAUCCUGUGUA
RNAcentral lists this small RNA (69 nucleotides) under Bacillus sp. V59.32b. Its description in RNAcentral is "Bacillaceae-1 RNA". It matches the Rfam family "Bacillaceae-1 RNA". The record is from Rfam by way of RNAcentral. RNAcentral also lists the same sequence under 1 other name. Lineage: Bacteria; Bacillati; Bacillota; Bacilli; Caryophanales; Bacillaceae.